RNAcentral lists this ribosomal RNA (207 nucleotides) under uncultured bacterium. RNAcentral's name for it is "partial 16S ribosomal RNA". It matches the Rfam family "Bacterial small subunit ribosomal RNA", at positions 568 to 774 of the family's 1533-position model. The record is from RNAcentral.
UCCGUAGGCGGUUUAAUAAGUCAGUGGUGAAAGCCCAUCGCUCAACGGUGGAACGGCCAUUGAUACUGUUAGACUUGAAUUAUUAGGAAGUAACUAGAAUAUGUAGUGUAGCGGUGAAAUGCUUAGAGAUUACAUGGAAUACCAAUCGCGAAGGCAGGUUACUACUAAUGGAUUGACGCUGAUGGACGAAAGCGUGGGUAGCGAACA